RNAcentral lists this ribosomal RNA (892 nucleotides) under uncultured Scenedesmus. RNAcentral's name for it is "bacterial SSU rRNA". It matches the Rfam family "Bacterial small subunit ribosomal RNA", at positions 35 to 958 of the family's 1533-position model. Lineage: Eukaryota; Viridiplantae; Chlorophyta; Chlorophyceae; Sphaeropleales; Scenedesmaceae. The record is from RNAcentral.
GCUGGCGGUAUGCCUAACACAUGCAAGUCGUACGAGAUCUACUUUUUUUCGGAAAGGUAGAUUGCAGUGGCGGACGGGUGAGUAAUGCGUAAGAACUUACCUUUUGGUGGGGGAUAACAGCGGGAAACUGCUGCUAAUACCCCAUAAUGCUGAGGAGCUAAAAGUGAAAACUGCCAAGAGAGAGGCUUGCGUCUGAUUAGCUAGUUGGAGGAGGUAAAUGCUCCCCAAGGCGACGAUCAGUAGCUGGUCUGAGAGGAUGAUCAGCCACACUGGGACUGAGACACGGCCCAGACUCCUACGGGAGGCAGCAGUGGGGAAUUUUCCACAAUGGGCGAAAGCCUGAUGGAGCAAUACCGCGUGAGGGAUGAAGGAUCGUGGUCUGUAAACCUCUUUUCUUAAGGAAGAAUAAAUGACGGUACUUAAGGAAUAAGCACCGGCUAACUCCGUGCCAGCAGCCGCGGUAAUACGGGGGGUGCAAGCGUUGUCCGGAAUGAUUGGGCGUAAAGCAUCUGUAGGUGGUUUUUAAAGUCAACUGUUAAAGCCCAGGGCUUAACUUUGGAAAAGCGGUUGAGCACUUAAGGACUCGAGUAUGGUAGGGGUAGAGGGAAUUCCUUGUGGAGCGGUGAAAUGCACAGAGAUAAGGAAGAACACCGAAGGCGAAAGCACUCUACUGGGCCAUGACUGACACUGAGAGAUGAAAGUCGGGGGAGCGAAAAGGAUUAGACACCCUUGUAGUCCCGACUGUAAACGAUGGAUACUAAGUGCUGACAAAAUCAGUGCUGUAGCUAACGCGUUAAGUAUCCCGCCUGGGGAGUAUGCUCGCAAGAGUGAAACUCAAAGGAAUUGACGGGAAUUGGCACAAGCGGUGGAUUAUGCCGGUUAAUUCGAUGAU